RNAcentral lists this ribosomal RNA (404 nucleotides) under uncultured bacterium. RNAcentral's name for it is "bacterial SSU rRNA". It matches the Rfam family "Bacterial small subunit ribosomal RNA", at positions 28 to 455 of the family's 1533-position model. The record is from RNAcentral.
GACGAACGCUUGCGGCAUGCUUAACACAUGCAAGUCGCACGGCUGGGGAAACCCAGCAGUGGCGGACGGGUGAGUAACGCGUGGGGAUCUGUCUCCGGGUGGGGGAUAACCAUGGGAAACUAUGGCUAAUACCGCAUGAUACCCGAGGGUCAAAGGCGCAAGUCGCCUGGAGAGGAACCCGCGUACGAUUAGCUUGUUGGCGGGGUAAUGGCCCACCAAGGCGACGAUCGUUAGCNGGUCUGAGAGGAUGAUCAGCCACACUGGGACUGAGACACGGCCCAGACUCCUACGGGAGGCAGCAGGUGGGGAAUAUUGGACAAUGGGCGCAAGCCUGAUCCAGCAAUGCCGCGUGAGUGAAGAAGGUCUUCGGAUUGUAAAGCUCUUUCGGACGGGGACGAUGAUGA